Molecule: ribosomal RNA, 254 nt
Filed under: uncultured bacterium
Lineage: Bacteria
Description: partial 16S ribosomal RNA
Rfam family: Bacterial small subunit ribosomal RNA
Source: RNAcentral
UACAGGGGGGGGCAAGCGUUGUUCGGAAUUACUGGGCGUAAAGGGCCAGUAGGCGGCCAACUAAGUCCGACGUGAAAUCCCCAAGCUUAACUUGGGAACUGCGUCGGAUACUGGAUGGCUUGAAUUCGGGAGAGGGAUGCAGAAUUCCAGGUGUAGCGGUGAAAUGCGUAGAUAUCUGGAAGAACACCAAUGGCGAAGGCACCAUCCUGGGAAGCAUCUGACGCUCAGGUGCGAAAGCUAGGGGAGCGAACGGG